This 900-nucleotide ribosomal RNA is filed under the name uncultured bacterium. RNAcentral's name for it is "bacterial SSU rRNA". It matches the Rfam family "Bacterial small subunit ribosomal RNA", at positions 1 to 896 of the family's 1533-position model. The record is from RNAcentral.
UAGAGUUUGAUCAUGGCUCAGGAUGAACGCUAGCGGCAGGCUUAACACAUGCAAGUCGAGGGGCAGCGGGGAGGUAGCAAUACUUCCGCCGGCGACCGGCGCACGGGUGAGUAGCACGUAUGGAACCUGCCCGUAGCAGGGGGAUAAGCGGAAGAAAUUCCGUCUAAUACCGCGUAAUAACUCCGAGAGGCAUCUCAUGGGGUUUAAAGGGUGACACCGGCUACGGAUGGCCAUGCGGCGCAUUAGCUAGUUGGCGGGGUAACGGCCCACCAAGGCGACGAUGCGUAGGGGUUCUGAGAGGAAGGUCCCCCACACUGGUACUGAGACACGGACCAGACUCCUACGGGAGGCAGCAGUGAGGAAUAUUGGUCAAUGGGCGCGAGCCUGAACCAGCCAAGUCGCGUGAGGGAAGACGGUCCUAUGGAUUGUAAACCUCUUUUGUCGGGGAGCAAAAGACGCCACGUGUGGCGUUCCGAGAGUACCCGAAGAAAAAGCAUCGGCUAACUCCGUGCCAGCAGCCGCGGUAAUACGGAGGAUGCGAGCGUUAUCCGGAUUUAUUGGGUUUAAAGGGUGCGCAGGCGGAUUUUUAAGUCAGCGGUCAAAUCGUGGGGCUCAACCCCAUCCAGCCGUUGAAACUGGGGAUCUAGAGUGUGCGAGAGGUAUGCGGAAUGCGUGGUGUAGCGGUGAAAUGCAUAGAUAUCACGCAGAACCCCGAUUGCGAAGGCAGCAUACCGGUGCACAACUGACGCUCAGGCACGAAAGCGUGGGUAUCGAACAGGAUUAGAUACCCUGGUAGUCCACGCAGUAAACGAUGAAUGCUACCUGUUUGGCCAGAUUGAUGGCUGAGCGGGACAGCGAAAGCGUUAAGCAUUCCACCUGGGGAGUACGCCGGCAACGGUG